GGGGUGUUUCACACAAAAUAACCUCAUAUUUUCUUUACUGGGUAGACAUAAGGUCAUCUGCAGAGAGGAAGGUGGGCCGAUGGUAGACGAAUUGUCACUUAACAAAUCCUACUUCUUAAUACAUUCUUUUAAAACAACUCAGCAACAACUUGGGUGCAUUUAUAUGCUUUGCAUGAAUGUAUUCUGCCAUUUCUGUGAGGAAGCAAAUUAUUACGAAUAACUAUAAAAAUGAAAUGGUUAUAUAUUUAUUUUUUCAAAAACAAAAGGCAGAUUCCAAAGGUAUAAUCUAAGAUGAGGCAUCAUGAUCACUAGAGGUGCCUGUUCCCAUUACUGCCAUGCUUUAAUCCACUUGCCCUCAACUGUCUACCAUCCUCCGGCUCCCCAUCCCUCACAUCCUAAAUAACACACCUAGCUUAAGUAACAAUUACUCACUUAAAAGUGGGAAAAUAUGGUCAGUAUUGAGGGAGUGUAGCACCAAAAUCUGUAUCAGUCAAAGUUUUCCAGAGAAAGAGAACCAAUAGGAUAUGUAUGUAUGUAUGUAUGUAUGUAUGUAUGUAUGUAUGCAUGCAUCUACUAUCUACCAUCUGUCUAUCUAUCUAUCUAUCUAUCUAUCUAUCUAUCUAUCUAUCUAAGAAGGGAUUUAUUAUAGAAAUUGGCUCAUGCAAUUAUGGAGUGACAAUAUGCCACCUGCAAGCUGGAGACCCAAGAAAGCUGAUAGUGUAAUUCAGUCCAAGAGAUAGUGUAAUUCAGUCCAAGACCAAAGGCCUGAGAACCAGCGGGGGAAUGCUGCUGGUGUAAACCCUGGAGUCUGAAGGCCUGAGGACAAGGAGCUCUGAUGUCCGAGGGCAGAAGAUAGAUGUCCCAGCUGCAGAAGAGUGGAAUCUGAAUUGUGGCCCUCAAAGACCCACUGGAGGGCAGACACUGGCAGGCUGUGGGAGAAGCUGAGGAUAGGGUGAGUGAAACUCCACAGGUGACCUUGGACAAGUGCCUAAACUUUCUGUGCCUCUGUGUGUACAUCUGCAAAGUGAAGUGGUGGACUUUGUGAGCCCCAAGGUUCCUCAUGCAUUCUAGAAUUGCAGCACUUUUUGAGGGAUUGUAAGAGGAAAGAAGCAGUUACAGAAACACAAUUUUGAAAUGCUAGGUCUUUGGUAUUUGAAGCCAAGGAAAUGGCUAGGGGUCUCUGAAAAAAAAAAUAGUAUUAUGAAUAAGAUGGAACCAGACAGCACCCUAAAAGUUUGUGACAAAGGAAGUCUCAAUCCUUACAUCAGAAGCAAAUUUCUCACUGUAUACCUUUACAUUUUAUAAAACAUGGUCACAUGGAACAAUAGCUUGCAGACUGGGAAGCACUUGAACAUAAUAGUGUUUCAUUUGAUCCUCAUACACUCUUGGGAGAUAGAAAGCAUUAUUUUUACUCUCUCCAUUUUAUGAACAAGGAAAAUCAGUUUCCAAGUAGUUAAGGUCACAGAGCUGAGUAUUGGACUCUGUUCUUACGGAUUUCUGUACCCUCCAUAGAGAAUGGGGUCAGUGGGGUCUUAUCCUUGAGCAGCCGUGUCAGAAGUGGGAGCCCUGGGCAUAGAGCCUUAGGGACUUAUGGAACAUACUGUGUCCUCACUAGGCUGGAGCAGGGACUAUGGUUGUGGAUGCCAUAAUUGGUCUGCUUUGGAAAGGGCUUCCUUUAUCUCCAUCAAAGAGAUAUCACCAAAGAUCUGGGGGCAGCUUGGCCAGUCUAUGUGCUGACUCUCUGCUGGAGCUGUCUCCUAAUCAGGUCACUGCUAGAGUUCCUCUUCCUAAAUGUCCCAGUGCCAUGACUUUGGUGCUCUAGCUUGUGGGAUUGAAUCAAUCUAAGAGUCCAGAGUCUAUGAGGACUCCUUCUUCUCUAUUGUAUGCUGCUGUCUGAAGCUAAAUGCUAUUGUACAAGUUUUGUUGCUGUUUAGAUUUUUUUUGUUCCCAGAUUAUUGUUCCAAAAAUAGACCUACGAUAUAUUCUUAUACAUUUGAAUUUAAUUAAGAACCUUUUUCUCAAUGACAUAAAUAUGGUUUUACUGUUUCCAGCCAGGCCAGACAAAGAUGCCUGAAGACAGAUUUCUAAAUGAUGCUAUGUGCCAAUUUCUCUGAUCUUUUUAAUAUUGUAACUAACGGGCCUUGCUCUGAGAUGGUGGUUUACGAUUUUGACAUGCUGUCCUGUACCACUCUCUGAUCACAAGGGAAUACGUAGAAACUCACCAAAGCAACUGCUGUCAGUCGUCAAAGUGGAGCCACAUUGUCCCUUCUAACCUCAUAAGGAUCCUUAUGGGAUUCAGGAUGAUCACAUUUUCAGUGCUCUAAGGACUGUCUCCGUAUGACCCCAGCCAUACCAUGCCCAUUACUGAUGUAUUUGACCUGUUGAGCCUCCAACAGCAUUGCAGACUCCACUUUUUGUGUUCCAACAGGACUAAGGCCAGAAGCGAAUGUCCUAUUUUUUCCUGCCAUUUCUCUGCUGAGCAACAGUUCACCCUUGGAGCUGCUGCUGCCUAAAGAACAGGAGAAGAUUCAGGAAUGCUAACAAUAGUUACCUACAUAUCGCAUGCCCUCUGCCCUUGCCCAUUGUAACAGCCUCACCACUUGGAUCAGUAAGAGUCCACACUUGCUCAGUACAUCUUGGUGCUCACUUCAGCUGUGGGCUCUGAUUUAAACAUCCAGCUCAGGGGAUGCCUCUUUGGUGCAUGUCAUAAUCAGGAGAAGAAUGCUGUCUUUGGAUUCUGGAACUGACUCCAUUUGUAGUGAAGAGUUUGGAGAGCAUCAAUAAUGGGAUGGCAACAUUCAUUCAUUCAUUUAUACCUCUAACCAGUCUUUCCUCACAUACUGGUUGAGUACUCAAUACGUGCCCUGUGCUUAGCUGAGUACUGUUCAAUGGUGAACAAAGAAGACAUGGUCUUAACUAGGAGUUCCUAUUUCAACAGAGUAGCCCAAGGAACUUCAACCACUUUUGCUACAGGUGUAUUAGUUACUGCCAAGAGUCUGUAAGUGUUCAUGGGCCUCAUUAAGCUCUGCCUUCCUUCUGCUUUUUGGAGCCUGGCCUUUGGUUGGCCUUGAAUGAAGAGUAGGGCCCCCAAAGUACCACUGUCAGCACUCUCCAGCAUCAUCUGGCUGUCUGGCACCAUCAAAGAAUUGCAUUUCUGACCCAAGAAGAGCUUAUGGGUGGAUGGGGGUGGGAUGGAGGCUGGGGAGAGGAUUGAUGCCAGCCAGCUGCCUCACAGGGUGCUGGAAACACGUGGCCAUGCCAUUAGCAUCCUGUUUGGCUUCUGGACGAGUUUCAUCUGUGACACCUACAUAGUCCUCGCUUGGAUCAGCAAGAUAAAAGGCAGCCCUGAUGUUAGUGCCUCCUCUGAUGAGCCAUACGCCAGAAUCCAGCAGAGCAGAAGGCAAUGCCACGCAGAAGAGGACCAAAGUCAGGUGCCAGAAGCAGGUGACAUCUCCACUCUCAGUUCUUUGGAGGCAGCUAUUUUAAUAGAACCACUUUACUGCAGCUAUUUUGACAUGAGGAUAUUUUGGUAUGGCUCAAAGAUUCAGCCGAUAAAUGUUCAGCUUUUUAAAAAAUAAAUGAUGAGUAAAAUAGGCAUCUUGCAGGCCAUCUGUGAGCUUCACCUCAACCUUGAUCUUCACUUCCCCCCCUCCAUUGUCAGUCUUACCUCCAGGCAUUAAGGGUGUAUGGAUUGGUAACAGAUGAAGGAAAGGACUGGUAGAGGUUCAAAAUGAAAGAAAUAGCAGGUCAGGACUCCAGGAGGGUUGAGGGUCUUUUAAAGUAAAACAAAACAAACAAACAAACAAAAAAACAGGGUCAACCAAAUUCAGAAGUCAGGUAGAAGUCAGAGAAGGAAUGAAAGAUGGGAAACUGGUUAUAAACCAAAUACAGCGAGUCUGAAUUUUGACUUGUUUUGAGGCUGCUGUAUCAAAACAGUUGUGUUGGAAGAGCUGCAUGAAAUUGUUGGGCAAGAAAUAGUCCACUCAUGAUUCAGAUAAGCUCAUUUUGCCUCUUCCAUGGUCGAUUUCUGACUCAUAAAUGUCUAUACAUUUCACUUUACUGCUUAUGUGAGCCUCAGUUUCCCCACAUAAAAUGCAGAUGAUGAUGUCGGCCCUUCCUCUUUCCCCACGUUUUGCUCUCCUUCCAAGUGGCAUGAUGAGGAAUGAGCCAGCAUCUUGUAAACUGCUCCAGGCCACCUGGAGAAAUGUGCUUGCGUAAAUAGUCGGCAUUAGUAUACGUGAGUCUUCCAUGAGUAAAGAAUUUCAGAGUUGGCAGCCGUCUCUGCCUGGUGAUUCAUGUGGGCACAAUGAUGCCCUUAGCUACAAUGUAUGGUGUGGGUGAUGAAUUUGUUCUUGUCACAGCAGAGGACUGAGUAUUCUUUACCCAAAUGCUAUAGAUUGAGUUUGCACAUGGGAACUAGAUUAGCUCUGAAGAGAGUUGAAAGGAACCUGACAUUUCUGCCUACAAUCUAGAGUUUCAUUGUACAAACAACCGCAGCAGCACAUUUGUGCCCAACCAUUGGCUCCCUUUGCCAGCAAAGAAAAUCUUCUAAAUUCUUCUGCCAUUUGUCAAACCUGCCAAAGUCCCUGGAGGCAGUUCUGGUAUAACUGAAGGUGGAGAAAGAUAAUAUUCUCUCUACCAGGUUUCACUACUUCCUGUGUUGGUUGUUCACAAGGGGAGAGCUUCUGCAUCACAGGAUGAAGCUUCGGUGAUUUAGAUGUGGAAUAUCCUUCCAGGAUUAGGGCAAGGAGGCCCCAGCUUCCAGAACUCUGUCCUGCAGCCUCCGCGUGGCUGGGCAGCGGCCUUCCUUUGAGCCUUCAGGGUGGAAACGAAGGACACGUGCGUCUCUGCAGCACUUCUGGCUUUCGCUCAAUCCUAUUUUCAGAGCCAAAGCGCCAUCUCCUCUGGUACAGUUAAUCUUUGUUCCUGCCACUGACCCUUCUAUCUUUAUUACUUUUCACCACGUCCUGGCCUUCAGAUUUCUUAUGGAUUUGUCUCUCAGGCGUUGUGUUUUGAUUCCCUCCUCACAUUUACUUCCAAGUGCCAAGAACAACUCUGUUCCGGCAGAAGGAUAUUAUUUGGCUUAAAAAGAAGAAUGAGCAGUGGCUUCUCUCCAUCAGCAUUCUUUAGGUUUACGUGGGAAUUCAUUCUGGGAACCAUUUAGAGUCUCCUUCAAGCCUCUCCCUGACCGACAAAGUUUCUGUCCCAGAGAGUUACUUUGCUUCCAUUGUUUCUAAGUGGAUGAUAAGAACCUUUCUUUCUGAGCCUAUGUAGAAGGACUCAACACCCCUCCCCUCAUUACUCCCCAGAGUAUCCAUUGGCUGGGCCCACAAUGGAUACACCCUGAGUAUUGUUACCAUUGUUAUAGACUUCAGCAUCAACUCCAGUAUUUGGUGGUCCAAUAAACCUUGAGUCCUCUUCAAGAAUUGUUAGUUUUUCCCACCUUUGAGAACCACACUCACCCUUUAAGGCAGCUCUUCCUAAGUGACUGACAAACACUCCCUGGUUGAGCUGGUGGGGGCAGGUCCAGCCAACAAUGGCUUCUCUGUUGACAUCACACAGGCCUUAAUGACACAGACUAGUCACAACAGCUGGUGCACUCAUGAGUGCCUAUUAAUAUUUUGGGUAACUUGUAUUGCCCCAUCCACCACUCUGUAUAGUGAUUCUGGAAUUUGCUAUUUGAUAUGAGCAAAUGAAAAGAUGGAAGGGGCUGUUCACCACUCAGGCUGCAAGCAAGCCUGUCAUGCCCAUCUGCCAAGAGGAGUCCUUGUGUGCCUCCAAAAUGGCCUGGUCCUUAACUUGAUCUGCUUGGACUGAUUGCAAACAGUGGCUUAGCUUCCUCUAGACCAGAGGACAUUCUGUGCUCCCAAAACAGAAUGCUACACAUGGGAACAAGGGAAAGGGAGGCUUUGAGAGGUCAGCCAGCAAGGCCCCUGCUUCAAGCCUAAAACCAACGUAAUUAGGUGAAGAUUGAGCAGGAUAAGGCUUUGCAAGGAACAUCCCUGCCAUGUCAAGGUGAUCCCAGCAUUGCAAGUUCUCCCCUGAGGCGCAGAGCCCAGAAGAAAUCAGCGUGGAAUGAAAAGAGUCAAGGAUGGAGCCCCCACAGGACUUAGCAAGAAUGCCAAUAGGAAGCUGGUUGGGACUGAAUCUGGGCAGAAUGGCUGUCGCACUUGCUUUGAAGUUACGAGCACAGCAGUACCAGAACAAUCAGCAGGCAUCUCCGAAAGUUUCUAGGGCAGGGAAUCCACCAGGGCAGAGCCUCAGCUCUCAGCCUCCCGGAAUGAACCAUGAACCCAAAGCAAAGAGCAGAACUCCUUUGACACCUCCAGCUUCACAGACAAAGAAACAUGCAGUUCUGAAGUCUGGCCAGCCACACCAAAGAGCUUUUCGCAAGACGGCACAGGCCAGGUAGAGGCAGCUGUGCAGUGGGAGGACUGUGAUGUUUUGGACUAGAAAAUAAGACACAAAUGAGGCCAACAAAACACAGGCACUGCAUAAAGGUGUCUUCUCCCCACUUUAUAAGCCUUAUGUGUGAAAAUAUUCAAUGCCACAACAAGGCAAGCAAAUAGGUCCUUGGAGGGAGGGAUAGCUGGAUUUUAAUCCUGGCUCUACACUAAGGUCUUGGACUACUUACUGCAGGUCUCUGAGCUUCAUAGUUUUAUGUAUAAAAUAGGAUGAAGACCAUCCCCAAAUCCACUUCGAUGGUGAGAAUUAGGUGACAUGACAGCAGAAGGGCAUUUAGAGCUUGGCACAGAAGGGGUCUCAACAAAUGGUAGCUGUGUUUCAUCGUUCAUUUGAGAACUGAUGUUUGGAUCCUUUUCUGCAUCUUGAAACAUCCCAAAAUAUUCCUCCUUAAGCCCUGCAGUUGGAUACUCAUUGAUACUUCUCUGUUCAAUUUAUACUGCGAGCAGGGGAGGGAGGCUUGAGCUUGGUUCCAUGAACGAGGGUGAAGGGUGUAAGUCUCCCAGCUUCAUUUCUGUCUCCUCCUCACCUGGGGAGCCAUGGCCAAUUCUCUUCCCAGGUCACUUGACUUCUCCAUGACCAUGACUUUCACCUUCUGCAUUUUGGAACAAUAUACUCAUGAAUGCUAAGAAGCUUUUGUUUCUUUCUGCCUGUGCUGAGCCUGUCUACUAUAAAAGAAAAAUCACAAUGGUUGUCAUAGUUAUGCUCUUUGCUUCCUGAGUGGAAUAGCACCGGUUUUUAUGUUACAUUAUACUGUAUUCUGGAUCUCUCUUUGAUGGUCGGUUAUGGAGAAGGUUUGCCAAUUCUUUCUCUUACAAUUCUUUUUAAAUAAAUCCUCAGAAUUAAGGCCAUUUUAUUAUCUUCUUUUACUUUUAAAUAAAUAUAUAUAUAUAUAU
Pan troglodytes (chimpanzee) is the source of this 7358-nucleotide RNA transcript. RefSeq lists it as uncharacterized. NCBI's taxonomy places the organism in Eukaryota, Metazoa, Chordata, Mammalia, Primates, Hominidae. The record is from RefSeq and is a predicted model, not a curated record. The transcript has 6 exons.